Long non-coding RNA from Portunus trituberculatus (swimming crab), 770 nucleotides. RefSeq lists it as uncharacterized. The record is from RefSeq and is a predicted model, not a curated record. The transcript has 3 exons. Lineage: Eukaryota; Metazoa; Arthropoda; Malacostraca; Decapoda; Portunidae.
GUUUGCGCGCGCAGGCGUAUAUAAGCCGGAGGAAGGAACAAUACUUCAGUCGGUGUUGUACUGGGAAGAAAGAUCUACCAUGGCCGCCAUUUUUAAGCUGCUAAUCGUGGUAUUGCUGCUGUCCCUGGUUACCUGCGGCUUGGCACUUCCUGAGGCCACGCGACGGAAGGGCCAUAGGAGGGGCGGAGGUUAUGGUAAAGGCAGAGGAGGCGGGCAUAGGAGAGGCAGCUACGGAAAGAGAGGAGGCUAUGGGAAGUAAGAUUUAUUUGAGUUCCUGAUUCAUCCACCAACACCAGCGCACUAUAAUCACAGUCAAGCUUGUCACUGACCUACUGGAUCACGUCUUAACCUUCGCUGCUGCCUCCUGCGGACCUAGCAAUCCCAAUAACAAGAAUCUUCUCUCCCUCCCCUAUUCUGAGUCUCCAUCUGGCCCAGGCUAAGAAUGUAUUCUGAAACACUUCUGCGCAGCACCUCCAAUGAUGGUGCUUAUAAUUGUAAUGAGUGUGACUAGGCUAAACGACCAACUAAUAGACUUACCCACUGCACCCUAUAUAAAGAAGAAUUCCAUGUCCAGCUUAGCUUUACCGAAAAGCCCCAGGUACAAAAUAAGUCCUAAAAUAACCAAAAUUAACUCUCCUGAGGACCAAAAUUACAAAAUUAUAGGGACCACUUGCAUAGCCUAGAUAGGACAUGAAAGUACUCCAUUGUACCAUAGUACAGUAAUUAACAUAUGCACAAUGUGAAAUAAUAAAUAAAGUUUCCAGAAUUCA